Molecule: long non-coding RNA, 642 nt
Organism: Chroicocephalus ridibundus (black-headed gull)
Lineage: Eukaryota; Metazoa; Chordata; Aves; Charadriiformes; Laridae
Exons: 5
Source: RefSeq, a predicted model, not a curated record
CAGUAGUUCCAUUUAUGGUGCUUUUUACAGUUAAAGUUGAAUUGAAAUUACCACCUUUGUACCAGUCAAAUAACUACUUCUGUCCAGUAAAAAAAGGUCUGAGGGCAUAUCACAGGAAAAGUAAAAAGCACUGAGAAAACACACUUUUCUUCCUGGGUGCAUUGAGGCUGGCAAUGGACUUUUGAAGAAACUAAGCUGCAGACCAUGAAAAGGUCCUGCUGAUUUAAAGGUUUCAACACUAAGAACAUGUGAACUCCUACAGCUCCAACAUCACAAUUAUGAAUUAUCUAGAAUGACUGGAAUCAGCUGGAGAUUCACAGACAGGGAGUAUGAAGAGAGUUCUGGAGCAACUGAAAUUUUGGCUCUGUAAUUGAAACAAAAAUCCAUAUUUCCUGAGGUUCAUCCAUCUUUUACAUUGGGAAGCCUAGCCAAAGGACGUGGUAAGUUCUGAACUGCCUGGACCUUCUCUGCUCUAGAGAAGCCGCUAGUCCGCCAGUUAUGACAUGUGAAUGAAGCAGACGAGAAUGGAAACUCUUUGUUGGGGAAAUAUUCUAACCAAGACCCUGAACCAUUAUUGAAGUCAGAAACAAUAUUUCCUCAGAGAAAUUAAUCUUUUCUUUCAAAAAUUACAAACAACUCCAC